CCUUCCGUCCCAGCCUUGGGUGGGGAACCACCAGACUUGCCCUCCAAGAUAUAUUGGAGGGGCAAGUCUGGUGCCAGCAGCCGCGGUAAUUCCAGCUCCAAGAGCGUAUAUUAAAGUUGUUGCAGUUAAAAAGCUCGUAGUUGAACCUUGGGUUUUGGAGGGAGGUCCACCUCACGGUGAGUACUUCCAUAUCCAAGACCUUUCCUCUGCUUCCUCGCAAGAGGCAGCAGAAUAUUACUUUGAGUAAAUGAGAGUGUUCAAAGCAGGCGCACGCUUGAAUCUGUUAGCAUGGAAUAAUAGAAUAGGACGCAUGGUUCUAUUUUGUUGGUUUCUAGGACCAUCGUAAUGAUUAAUAGGGACGGUCGGGGGCAUCAGUAUUCAGUUGUCAGAGGUGAAAUUCUUGGAUUUACUGAAGACUAACUACUGCGAAAGCAUUUGCCAAGGACGUUUUCAUUAAUCAAGAACGAAAGUUAGGCCCUCCGAAGAUGAUCUAGAAC
RNAcentral lists this ribosomal RNA (497 nucleotides) under Candidozyma auris. RNAcentral describes it as "SSU rRNA". It matches the Rfam family "Eukaryotic small subunit ribosomal RNA", at positions 495 to 1015 of the family's 1831-position model. Lineage: Eukaryota; Fungi; Ascomycota; Pichiomycetes; Serinales; Metschnikowiaceae. The record is from RNAcentral.